UACAGAGGUCCCGAGCGUUGUUCGGAUUCACUGGGCGUAAAGGGUGCGUAGGUGGUGACGUAAGUCGGAUGUGAAAUCUCGGAGCUCAACUCCGAAACGGCAUUGGAAACUGCGUUGCUAGAGGGUUGGAGGGGGGACUGGAAUGCUUGGUGUAGCAGUGAAAUGCGUAGAUAUCAAGCGGAACACCAGUGGCGAAGGCGAGUCCCUGGACAACACCUGACACUGAGGCACGAAAGCUAGGGGAGCAAACUGG
Molecule: ribosomal RNA, 253 nt
Filed under: uncultured bacterium
Lineage: Bacteria
Description: partial 16S ribosomal RNA
Rfam family: Bacterial small subunit ribosomal RNA
Source: RNAcentral